AAAUUUCCAUCGCGUACUAAUUUUUUUUUCCUCAAUCUACUCUUUCCUCUUAGGCUGCUGGUUUUCCAGAACCUGAGAUCAUUCACUAUAAUCCCAAGGAAUUUGACUUUGGUAAAAAGAAGGCAUUCCCAUUCCGCGACCAGCAUUUCUUUGCAUCUGUUGACAAGGCGAAACAUGUUCUUGGAUGGAAACCUGAAUUUGACCUGGUAGAAGGCCUUGCAGAUUCUUACAAUCUAGACUUUGGUAGAGGAACAUACAGGAAAGAGGCUGAUUUCUCCACUGAUGACUUGAUUCUUAGUAAGAGUCUUGUUCUCCAGGCCUAGAUCUUUAGAUUUUGUCUCACUGUUUCUCUCUUCUUCUCUUUUUUUUUUUUUU
Manihot esculenta (cassava) is the source of this 375-nucleotide long non-coding RNA. RefSeq lists it as uncharacterized. The record is from RefSeq and is a predicted model, not a curated record. Lineage: Eukaryota; Viridiplantae; Streptophyta; Magnoliopsida; Malpighiales; Euphorbiaceae. The transcript has 2 exons.